GGACAGCCUGCUGCUCACAGCCUCCCAGACUUGUCUUAACAGAGAAAGAGUACAGGGAGCAGGGAGGAGAAUGAGUGCACAGAGUUUGCUAAAAUAUGAAGGUAUCUUCAAACCGGAACUCAGAUCUAACCCUUCUGCCCCUCAGUUGUGGAUCUUUCUUUCCAAAACUAAGGGAUCAGAUCAGCAGCAUGUUGGUUCCUGAGGCCAAAGGUGUUUUAUUUUCCUCCACAUUCUCCUUUCAGUGGCAGUGAACAUGGGACAGAAGACGACCUGGCAGUGGACCAUCAACAAUACACCAUGGAAAACUGACAUUAAUGGGUCUAUAUCACCAGAGGGGGGAAGAAUGGUCAGAAUGGCAGAAAAUCCGCUGGCACGGAGAUAUUUAUAACCCGGGUGAUCUCCCCCGAGUAUCCCCCGGCCCUGACUUGCUUCCGCCUUCCCAGCCCCGGAGCAGAGAGUCCCUGUCUCUUCCUUGCAGCAACUGCUGCCGCAGGGUCCUACUGCCCCCCAUCGCGACUGCCAGGGCAGAUUGACUCUGAGCCUGCCCUUCCCCCUCAGACCCUUUCAUUUUCCAAUGGGACCCUCCACCAGCACAGGGGGCCCCCGCCCACAGUCACCACUCCUGCCCCAUGCUGGGCAAGGAGGCAGCCCCAUCCCUCACCCCCAGUGAGGCUACAGUCAGGGGCAACAGCAGGGGAGAAGGUGCAUGCAGCGCCACCCAGCACCCACCAUGGGGGAGGCGAGGGAGAUUCC
Molecule: long non-coding RNA, 753 nt
Organism: Mauremys mutica (yellowpond turtle)
Lineage: Eukaryota; Metazoa; Chordata; Testudines; Geoemydidae
Exons: 3
Source: RefSeq, a predicted model, not a curated record